This 3579-nucleotide long non-coding RNA is filed under the name Homo sapiens (human). RNAcentral describes it as "HSALNT0212209". The stretch from base 976 to 1268 matches the Rfam family "Nuclear RNase P". The record is from RNAcentral. Lineage: Eukaryota; Metazoa; Chordata; Mammalia; Primates; Hominidae.
UCGAGACCCUCCUGGCUAACAUGGUGAAACCCUGUCUCCACUAAAAAUACAAAAAUUAGCUGGGCAUGGUGGCGCAUGCCUGUAAUCCCAGCUACUCAGGAGGCUGAGGCAGGAGCAACGCUUGAACCUGGGAGUCAGAGGUUGCAGUGAGCCGAGAUCGUGCCAUUGCACUCCAGCCUGGGCGACAGAGCUAGACUCCAUCUCAAAAAAAAAAAAAAAAAGUUGUCAUAUUUAUGGUCACAAAAGCUCAAGAGCUCAGGGCUAUCUAUCCAAUGAAGUCCUCCAUUUAAAUCUAGCCACAUUCAGAGAAGAGAGGCAGGAAAUGAGACUUGGGGGAAGAGGUAGCCAGGACCAGAAAUUAAAGUGUGACUGUGGUAAUGGGAAUAUAAAAGUAUCUGAGGUUGACAGAUGGGAGAAAGGAAAAUAGAGGCUACAAAGCAGAAGAUUAGCACCUGAAUGAAAUGAACAAGUAGUGAUGUAACAUAAGAAAAACAAUAAACAGAAAAAUAUUUUCUCUUAUAGGUAACUAUAUAAAAUAAAAUUUGCAAAAUCAAUUUUAUCUUCUAAUAGAAUUUUCUCUGGGGAAAUACCCUGCCCCUAUGGGUCUCUAAUAAAUAUGUGAUGUCCAUGAGAUAUAUCAAACAAACCAUGUUGCAGUUUACGUAUGAGAUCACCUCUUGUAAAAGGAAUUGAUUAAAGAAAAUCUAAAUGUUAAAAUGGCCCUAAUUGCUGGCUCAGUUACAUGUGCUAAACUACAUCCCUGUGGUAAGAUGAAAAUUUUCCCUAAAGAGUGCAGUUUGACUCUCCUUUUAACACCUUCUUUCUAUUUUUUCUUUUGUCUUAUGCUGUCUUAAGCCAAGAGUCUGAAGUGAUGACACAAUGCUGAUCAUAUCUAUUAUUUUCAUCUUUUGUUGAAAGGAGCAAAUAAGUGCCCCAGCCUUUAUGGUAGUAUCCUCAGACCCAUUUCACAGAUGGAGUAGAGGAAGCUCAUCUGCUUGGUGAAGGUAUAGGUCAUUCUUUCCAUUGUUUCAGGGAAAGUGUGAAAUAAGAGUCUGUGGUUGUCAUCACCUGAUGUCACCUGCCUGAUAUGAAUGAAUUAGCAGCAUUUCUGGGUUAACCCAGUGAAUACAGGUGAGCCUGGCUGAGGACAGGUACAAAAGCACUCCUAGAAGUUCAGGGUCAGCAGGUUUUUUUCUUAGCUCAAUGGGAGAGUUAGACUUUCUUCCCUUUAGGGUUCUCCUGCCCAACUUCAGGCUACUUCCCCUAUUCAGAUGAUAAACUCAAGCCUUUCAAGCACAUUUAUUUAUUUUUUGCUUUUUAAAACUUUAUUUCAACAUAACUAUGCUUACAGAAGUACAGUCAUAUUGGCUAAUAGAAUGCAAUUUAAGUUUAAACUUACCCUGUACAAUUUGAAUAAGAAACUUGGUACGUGGUUUAGGAUUUUAAAAAUGAUUUGCAGUCUGGUUUAUUUUUUAUCUAUUACAAAUGUAUAAAAGACCCUCCAUCAAAUUCUGCUAAAGAAGGCAGCAGAAACUUGAGAAAAUUACCUUUGGUUUGUCUUAGAAAAAAAACAGGCAUUGCACUGCUUAAGUUUAUAAAAUUGGUGCAAAAAAAAAUUGUAAUGCUUCAAUGCCAAUUUAGAAAGUUCAGUUACCAAUGGAUAUGGAAAUGGGUGUGAAGGAGCCUAUAUACACAUGUGAAACUGUAAAUAUCUGAUUUAGGUAAUAUUGCCUGUAGAUUAUAAAUCUACACACACCAAGAUUCAUAUAAUUUCUCCAAUCUGAAUUAACACUAUCUGUUCACUUCAUCUGCUGAGGUCAAUCAGGGAACUGGACACAGUAGUUGUUUUUCUGAUGUAUGCAAAAAAGAAAAUGGAAUUGUUUCGUUUGCUUUUCAGUCCAGAAGUCAGUAUACUAUGGGCAAGGUGUUCCUUCCGUUGUCAACAUUCGUAGAGUGACAAACAAUGAGGUCUACUUGGGUUUUAAUUUGUAUCAGCACUCAUAUCCAAAGCAGUCUCCAAAGUUAAUGAACACAUGACUUUAGAAGUGACUCCAAAAAAUAAAAUGGCCCUGCUUAGAAGAUUAGAGCAAAACAUUCAGCAAUAUUUAUAAGAAGCCUUAUCAAAAAAUGCAGCCCCUUGUGAAUUACACCUCAGUAUUAAAAAGUAGCCCCCAAAUAAGAAGUAGCUCUGAAAAACAAAGAGGAAAAAAUGUAACUUAAAAUAUCUUAAAAACCAGCAGGGUGCAGUGGCUCACGCCUGUAAUCCCAGCACUUUGGGAAGCGCCAAGGUGGGUGGAUCACGAGGUCAUGAGAUUGAGACCAUCCUGGCUAACACGGUGAAACCCCAUCUCUACUAAAAAAAAAAAAAAAAAAAAAACUUAGCCGGGCGUGGUGGCGAGCGCCUGUAGUCCCAGCUACUCAAGAGGCUGAGGCAGGAGAAUGGCGUGAACCCGGGAGGCCGACCCUGGAGUGAGCGGAGAUCACGCCACUGCACUCCAGCCUGGGCGACAGUGCGAGACUUCGGUCUCAAAAUAAAUAAAUAAAUAAAUAAAUAAAAAUCUUAAAAACCAAUGUGAAUAUAGGUUCAAAAGAUGAUAGUUAAAAGAGAUUCAUUUUCUUAAGACUACCUAGGAUUAAGACUUAUAAUGUAUUCUAGUAUUUCAAGUUUACCGCUAGUUACUAAACAUAAAUUUACAAAUAACAUAUCCAUUUUUUCAAACAUAUAACACUUAAAAGCAAGGGAAUAGCCAUUAUUUCCCUCUGAUUCUGUUUUUUUUGCUCUCCUCACUUUUUUUCAAAUACAGAUUAUCAUUUCCAUAUAAAGUUUUCACCAGGUAUGUCGAAAUCUCUUAAAUGGUAGCUUCUGGGGAAAUAUUCUCUCUCAAAUCUUGCAUGGAUUGGGGUGGAUUUUUUAAUAUUUUAUGUAUGUAUGUAUGUAUAUAGAGAUGAGUCUCACUGUGUUGUCCAGGCUGGUCUCGAACUCCUGGGCUCAAGCAACCCUCCUGCCUCAGCCUCCCACAGUGUUGGGAUUACAGGCAUGAGUCACCACAACUAGCCAGAAGGAAUUUAAUAAUCAAAAUGCAAUUGGGUUUCAGAUAUUUUAUUGUGGGUUUUUUCCCCCGCAAUGUGUGCCUCAAGGACAUAGUAAGACUUAGAGCAGACUUUUAUUCUCUUUCACCUAUAUGGACUCUGAGAGGUAAAGGAGUUUGGAAUUUUUAGAGAAACCGGGGAAGUGAGGAAAGGGAAGUCAAGAGACUUCUGUUUUGUCCUGGAGAAUGGCUAGCAGAUGGAGGGUUUACUUCAAGGUAACCCAGGCACAAAAUCCAUAGAAAUCAAAAAACUUGGGUAGUGUUGAAAAGAGUAGUUUUGACUUGGAAUAGAGAAGGGGUAUAUAGAAGCUGCAAGGAAUAUUUGGAAAAUAACAUGGUGAUUUACAGUUAAAACAUUAGAUUUUAGUCCUCAUUGUAACUUAAUAAUUCAAGGACCCUAAACAAGUUGCUUAUUGGCUGGUCUUCAAUUUUCUCAUCUGUAAAAUAAUGACAAUAAUAAAUAUACCUACCUCAUUGGCUUGCUUUAUAA